GCCAGCGUGGCACAAUCUGGUACUGCGCAAGCCUGGAAAGCUUGUUGGCUUCGGCCUAUCCCGGUUCAAAUAUCAAACUGUGUUUAAUACACAAAAAAACGCAGUUUUUUUGAAUGUCCGGGCGCUGGCG
Molecule: transfer RNA, 130 nt
Filed under: Candidatus Woesearchaeota archaeon
Lineage: Archaea; Nanobdellati; Candidatus Woesearchaeota
Description: tRNA-Ser
Source: RNAcentral